UACGUAGGGUGCGAGCGUUGUCCGGAAUUACUGGGCGUAAAGAGCUCGUAGGCGGCUUGUCGCGUUGUUCGUGAAAAUUUACCGCUCAACGGUGAACUUGCGGGCGAUACGGGCAGGCUAGAGUACUGCAGGGGAGACUGGAAUUCCUGGUGUAGCGGUGAAAUGCGCAGAUAUCAGGAGGAACACCGAUUGCGAAGGCAGCUCGCUGGGACGUGACUGACGCUGAGACGCGAAAGCGUGGGGAGCAAACAGG
RNAcentral lists this ribosomal RNA (253 nucleotides) under uncultured bacterium. RNAcentral describes it as "partial 16S ribosomal RNA". It matches the Rfam family "Bacterial small subunit ribosomal RNA", at positions 524 to 776 of the family's 1533-position model. The record is from RNAcentral.